GACGAACGCUGGCGGCGUGCCUAAUACAUGCAAGUUGAGCGAUGAAGAUUGGUGCUUGCACCAAUUUGAAGAGCAGCGAACGGGUGAGUAACGCGUGGGGAAUCUGCCUUUGAGCGGGGGACAACAUUUGGAAACGAAUGCUAAUACCGCAUAACAACUUUAAACAUAAGUUUUAAGUUUGAAAGAUGCAAUUGCAUCACUCAAAGAUGAUCCCGCGUUGUAUUAGCUAGUUGGUGAGGUAAAGGCUCACCAAGGCGAUGAUACAUAGCCGACCUGAGAGGGUGAUCGGCCACAUUGGGACUGAGACACGGCCCAAACUCCUACGGGAGGCAGCAGUAGGGAAUCUUCGGCAAUGGACGAAAGUCUGACCGAGCAACGCCGCGUGAGUGAAGAAGGUUUUCGGAUCGUAAAACUCUGUUGGUAGAGAAGAACGUUGGUGAGAGUGGAAAGCCCAUCAAGUGACGGUAACUACCCAGAAAGGGACGGCUAACUACGUG
RNAcentral lists this ribosomal RNA (497 nucleotides) under uncultured bacterium. RNAcentral's name for it is "partial 16S ribosomal RNA". It matches the Rfam family "Bacterial small subunit ribosomal RNA", at positions 28 to 507 of the family's 1533-position model. The record is from RNAcentral.